This 492-nucleotide ribosomal RNA is filed under the name uncultured bacterium. Its description in RNAcentral is "partial 16S ribosomal RNA". It matches the Rfam family "Bacterial small subunit ribosomal RNA", at positions 29 to 507 of the family's 1533-position model. The record is from RNAcentral.
AGUGAACGCUGGCGGUAGGCCUAACACAUGCCAGUCGAACGGCAGCACAGUAAGAGCUUGCUAUUACGGGUGGCGGGUGGCGGACGGGUGAGGAAUACAUCGGAAUCUACUUUUUCGUGGGGGAUAACGUAGGGAAACUUACGCUAAUACCGCAUACGACCUACGGGUGAAAGCAGGGGAUCUUCGGACCUUGCGCGAUUGAAUGAGCCGAUGUCGGAUUAGCUAGUUGGCGGGGUAAAGGCCCACCAAGGCGACGAUCCGUAGCUGGUCUGAGAGGAUGAUCAGCCACACUGGAACUGAGACACGGUCCAGACUCCUACGGGAGGCAGCAGUGGGGAAUAUUGGACAAUGGGCGCAAGCCUGAUCCAGCCAUACCGCGUGGGUGAAGAAGGCCUUCGGGUUGUAAAGCCCUUUUGUUGGGAAAGAAAAGCAGCAGGUUAAUACCCCGCUGUUCUGACGGUACCCAAAGAAUAAGCACCGGCUAACUUCGUG